RNAcentral lists this non-coding RNA (18 nucleotides) under Arabidopsis thaliana (thale cress). RNAcentral also lists the same sequence under 1 other name. Lineage: Eukaryota; Viridiplantae; Streptophyta; Magnoliopsida; Brassicales; Brassicaceae. The record is from RNAcentral.
GUCGUUGUAGUAUAGUGG